GAAGGAUUGCGUUCUCUAGGGGUAGCCACACUGGUGGCUUGGGGCGGGUAAGGACCUCCAGACCCUGUGCUAGGACAGAUGCUUUAUAGUAAGCUUUAACGUCAGGGGCGCCUAGGCCUCCUUUGUUUGGUGGGAGCCAUGUAAGUCUGCGUGCCAUUCGUGGGGGUUUUUUCUUCCAGAUGUGGGAGUUAAUAAUGGAUUGGAAUUUCUUGAGGAGCGUGUCAGGUAGCGCAAUAGGGAGGGUGCGGAAUAGGUACAGUAUAUGAG
Pelobates cultripes (western spadefoot toad) is the source of this 267-nucleotide non-coding RNA. Lineage: Eukaryota; Metazoa; Chordata; Amphibia; Anura; Pelobatidae. The record is from the annotation of a GenBank genome assembly.